UCGAACGGAAUCCAUGGUGUAGCAAUACACCGGAAGAUUUAGUGGCGAACGGGUGAGGAUCACGUGAGAAACCUGCCCCAGACUUUGGGAUAACAGUUGGAAACGACUGCUAAUACCGAAUGACGUCGGAGAACCGCAUGGUUCACUGACGAAAGGAAAUCCGGUUUGGGAGGGUCUCGCGGCCUAUCAGCUUGUUGGUGAGGUAAUGGCUCACCAAGGCUACGAUAGGUAGGGGGCCUGAGAGGGUGACCCCCCACACUGGUACUGAGACACGGACCAGACUCC
This 285-nucleotide ribosomal RNA is filed under the name unidentified marine bacterioplankton. RNAcentral describes it as "partial 16S ribosomal RNA". It matches the Rfam family "Bacterial small subunit ribosomal RNA", at positions 62 to 339 of the family's 1533-position model. The record is from RNAcentral.